This 82-nucleotide transfer RNA is filed under the name Hofstenia miamia. RNAcentral's name for it is "tRNA-Phe for anticodon AAA". It matches the Rfam family "tRNA". Rfam says of the family: Transfer RNA (tRNA) molecules are approximately 80 nucleotides in length. Their secondary structure includes four short double-helical elements and three loops (D, anti-codon, and T loops). Further hydrogen bonds mediate the characteristic L-shaped molecular structure. tRNAs have two regions of fundamental functional importance: the anti-codon, which is responsible for specific mRNA codon recognition, and the 3' end, to which the tRNAs corresponding amino acid is attached (by aminoacyl-tRNA synthetases). tRNAs cope with the degeneracy of the genetic code in two manners: having more than one tRNA (with a specific anti-codon) for a particular amino acid; and 'wobble' base-pairing, i.e. permitting non-standard base-pairing at the 3rd anti-codon position. Lineage: Eukaryota; Metazoa; Xenacoelomorpha; Acoela; Hofsteniidae. The record is from RNAcentral.
GCAUUCAUGGCCAAGUCGUUAAGGCGUUAGACUAAAAAUCUAAUCCCCUCUACUGGAGCAGGUUCGAAUCAUGUUGACUGCG